RNAcentral lists this ribosomal RNA (354 nucleotides) under uncultured Odoribacter sp. RNAcentral's name for it is "bacterial SSU rRNA". It matches the Rfam family "Bacterial small subunit ribosomal RNA", at positions 523 to 879 of the family's 1533-position model. Lineage: Bacteria; Pseudomonadati; Bacteroidota; Bacteroidia; Bacteroidales; Odoribacteraceae. The record is from RNAcentral.
AUACGGAGGAUCCAAGCGUUAUCCGGAUUUAUUGGGUUUAAAGGGUGCGUAGGCGGGGCAAUAAGUCAGUGGUUAAAUAUUUGAGCUAAACUCAAUUGUGCCAUUAAUACUGGUAAACUGGAGUACAGACGAGGUAGGCGGAAUAAGUUAAGUAGCGGUGAAAUGCAUAGAUAUGCCUUAGAACUCCGAUAGCGAAGGCAGCUUACCAGACUGUAACUGACGCUGAUGCACGAAAGCGUGGGUAGCGAACAGGAUUAGAUACCCUGGUAGUCCACGCCGUAAACGAUGCUACACUGGUUCUGUGCGAUAUAUUGUACGGGAUUAAGCGAAAGUAUUAAGUGAGCCACCUGGGGA